AACGAACGCUGGCGGCAUGCCUAACACAUGCAAGUCGAACGAGACCUUCGGGUCUAGUGGCGCACGGGUGCGUAACGCGUGGGAACCUUCCCUUAGGUUCGGAAUAACUCCCCGAAAGGGGUGCUAAUACCGGAUAAUUUCUUCGGACCAAAGAUUUAUCGCCUUUGGAUGGGCCCGCGUUGGAUUAGCUAGUUGGUAGGGUAAAAGCCUACCAAGGCGACGAUCCAUAGCUGGUCUGAGAGGAUGAUCAGCCACACUGGGACUGAGACACGGCCCAGACUCCUACGGGAGGAAGCAGUGGGGAAUAUUGGACAAUGGGCGAAAGCCUGAUCCAGCAAUGCCGCGUGAGUGAUGAAGGCCUUAGGGUUGUAAAGCUCUUUUAACCGGGAUGAUAAUGACAGUACCGGGAGAAUAAGCUCCGGCUAACUCCGUG
RNAcentral lists this ribosomal RNA (433 nucleotides) under uncultured bacterium. RNAcentral's name for it is "partial 16S ribosomal RNA". It matches the Rfam family "Bacterial small subunit ribosomal RNA", at positions 29 to 507 of the family's 1533-position model. The record is from RNAcentral.